Dromaius novaehollandiae (emu) is the source of this 642-nucleotide long non-coding RNA. RefSeq lists it as uncharacterized. The record is from RefSeq and is a predicted model, not a curated record. Lineage: Eukaryota; Metazoa; Chordata; Aves; Casuariiformes; Dromaiidae. The transcript has 2 exons.
UUACUGAAAAGUGAAACAUUUUUUGGAGAGUUGGAGGAAAAAUAAAGGAAAAGAAGGAUCAGAUUCACAAAGCUGGAAGGAAAACAAAGCCAACCUGUCUAGUAGCUCAGUGACCAAAGGACUCAGCCAAGAUGAGCUGGAUCAUCAGCAUCCUUGGGUGGUGAUCCACUUUUCCUAGGUUCUUCAGAAGGAAGGCAUCUGAACCAAGCAAAGGUGGAAGGAAGUGGAAAAAAUACCACCUGGGAAACUUUAAGAGUUGAGAGACCGCAGACUUCCCAGAUGCAUACAAAACCUCAAGUUGUAUUCACGAACUGUUGCAAGCAUGGCCUGAGGGUCAGGAACACAUCAAACCAAAACUUUAUUCAAGUGGUUUUGAGGUUUGAGGUGAAUGUGUUGCACUGCUCUAGUAGCAUCCUGAGGGGCGGAGUGUGGGUAAGCUGUGAGUGGGAUUUAGUUGCUCUAAGUGCACUAGUAUAUUCCGGAACAAGAGUGUGAUUAUAGGCCAACUUUACAGUAGGAAUAAAUGUUUUGCUGUCUUAUAAAUGCAUAUGUCAAUAGAAUAUUUAUUGUUGUUAGCAUUGCGGCACAGAGAAUUGUAAGAAAAGAAAUAAAAAUAUAUUAUGGGUUUCUAUUUCCCACUGA